RNAcentral lists this ribosomal RNA (253 nucleotides) under uncultured bacterium. Its description in RNAcentral is "partial 16S ribosomal RNA". It matches the Rfam family "Bacterial small subunit ribosomal RNA", at positions 524 to 776 of the family's 1533-position model. The record is from RNAcentral.
UACGUAGGGGGCAAGCGUUGUCCGGAAUCAUUGGGCGUAAAGCGCGUGUAGGCGGCCAGAAAAGUCCGUUGUGAAAACUCGAGGCUCAACUUCGAGCUGUCGGUGGAAACUUUCUGGCUAGAGUCCGGAAGAGGAGAAUGGAAUUCCUGGUGUAGCGGUGAAAUGCGUAGAUAUCAAGAGGAACACCUGCGGCGAAGGCGGGUUGGUGGGCCGACACUGACGCUGAGGCGCGAAAGCCAGGGGAGCGAACGGG